Molecule: ribosomal RNA, 253 nt
Filed under: uncultured bacterium
Lineage: Bacteria
Description: partial 16S ribosomal RNA
Rfam family: Bacterial small subunit ribosomal RNA
Source: RNAcentral
UACGGAGGAUCCAAGCGUUAUCCGGAUUUAUUGGGUUUAAAGGGUGCGUAGGCGGUUUAUUAAGUCAGUGGUGAAAGACAACAGCUCAACUGUUGCAGUGCCAUUGAUACUGAAGAGCUUGAGUACAGAUGAGGUAGGCGGAAUUUAUGGUGUAGCGGUGAAAUGCAUAGAUACCAUAAAGAACACCUAUUGCGAAGGCAGCUUACUAAGCUGUAACUGACGCUGAGGCACGAAAGUGUGGGGAUCAAACAGG